This 120-nucleotide ribosomal RNA is filed under the name Lepisosteus oculatus (spotted gar). The record is from RNAcentral. Lineage: Eukaryota; Metazoa; Chordata; Actinopteri; Semionotiformes; Lepisosteidae.
ACCAGCAGCCGUAUCGCCCCGCAGCUCACAGCCGGCAGCCCCACUGGAGCUCAGCAGGUGUGAGCCUGGUCAGUACCUGGAUGGGAGACCUCCUGGGAAAAACUAAGGUUGCUGCUGGAA